GAAAUAUGAAACUCAAGAGCAAGCUUCUAACUUCCCUCUUUAGCAGUGAAAUUCUGUUAAUAUUUCU
Molecule: transfer RNA, 67 nt
Filed under: Hapsodrilus ignifer
Lineage: Eukaryota; Metazoa; Arthropoda; Insecta; Coleoptera; Elateridae
Description: tRNA-Ser
Source: RNAcentral